This 204-nucleotide unclassified non-coding RNA is filed under the name Hevea brasiliensis (rubber tree). The record is from RNAcentral. Lineage: Eukaryota; Viridiplantae; Streptophyta; Magnoliopsida; Malpighiales; Euphorbiaceae.
UCUUUCUUUUUCUUUUUCCUUUUCAACAAUGGAUGACCAAGAUAGAAGCCAAUUCAGGCAUUCUACAUAUAUUAUUCACCUGCCCCACAAAGACCUGUUCAUAAGUUGCAUCACCUCAUCUUUUAAGGGGUAUUCUGGUCAUUCAGCAAGCAAGAACAAAGAUUGGAUCAAGAUGCAAUUUUAAAUGAAAAUAUACAGCUCCAG